GCUCAGGUUCCGCUGCCUGGCGAACUGCUGAGUAACACGUAGCCAACCUACCCUGGGGAGGGGGAUAAUCCCGGGAAACUGGGGCUAAUCCCCCAUAGCCCUAGGGUACUGGAAUGUCCCUAGGGUGAAAGGCCCUUGGAGGGAAACCCUCCUUGGGUGCCCCAGGAUGGGGCUGCGGCCCAUCAGGUUGUUGCCGGGGUAACGUCCCGGCAAGCCCAUAACGGGUAGGGGCCGUGAGAGCGGGAGCCCCCAGAUGCCCUCUGAGACAUGAGGGCAGGGCCUACGGGUCGCAGCAGGCGCGAAACCUUCGCAAUGCGCGCAAGCGCGACGAGGUCAGGCGGAGUGGUGUCGCUCUGCGGCACCUUUUCCCGAGGGUAAACACCUCGGGGAAUAAGGGGUGGGCAAGACGGGUGCCAGCCGCCACGGUAAUACCCGCGCCCCGAGUGGUGGCCGCGAUUAUUGGGCCUAAAGCGCCCGUAGCCGGGUAGGCAAGUUCACCGUGAAAUCCGCGCGUAAACGCGCGGGCGUGCGGUGAAGACUGCCUACCUUGGGACCGGGAGAGGCCGGAGGUAUUCCCGGGGUAGGGGUAAAAUCCUUUAAUCCCGGGAGGACCACCUGUGGCGAAGGCGUCCGGCUGGAACGGGUCCGACGGUGAGGGGCGAAAGCCAGGGGAGCGAACCGGAUUAGAUACCCGGGUAGUCCUGGCUGUAAACCAUGCCCGCUUGGUGUUGGGAGUGCCACGAGCACUCCCAGUGCCGGAGCGAAGGUGUUAAGCGGGCCGCCUGGGGAGUACGGCCGCAAGGCUGAAACUUAAAGGAAUUGGCGGGGGAGCACACAAGGGAUGGAGGCUGCGGUUCAAUCGGACUCAACGCCGUGAACCUUACCGGGGGCGACGGCACGAUGAAGGUCAGCCUGAAGGGCUUACCAGAGGAGCCGAGAGGAGUUGCAUGGCCGUCGUCAGCUCGUACCGUGAGGCGUCCUGUUAAGUCAGGUAACGAGCGAGACCCGCGCCCCCAGUUGGUACCUAGUGCUACGGCACUAGGCCACUCUGGGGGGACCGCUGCCGCUAAGGCAGAGGAAGGUGCGGGCAACGGCAGGUCGGUAUGGCCCGAAUCCCCCGGGCUGCACGCGGCCUACAAAGCGCGGGACAAUGGGUUGCGACCCCGAAAGGGGGAGCUAAUCCCCUAAACCCGCGCGUAGUUCGGAUUGAGGGCUGCAACUCGCCCUCAUGAAGCCGGAAUCCCUAGUAGGCGAACGUUAGCAUCGUUCGCCGAAUACGUCCCUGCUCCUUGCACACACCGCC
Molecule: ribosomal RNA, 1303 nt
Filed under: uncultured euryarchaeote
Lineage: Archaea; Methanobacteriati; Methanobacteriota
Description: 16S ribosomal RNA
Rfam family: Archaeal small subunit ribosomal RNA
Source: RNAcentral